RNAcentral lists this transfer RNA (73 nucleotides) under Stegodyphus mimosarum. It matches the Rfam family "tRNA". Rfam says of the family: Transfer RNA (tRNA) molecules are approximately 80 nucleotides in length. The record is from Rfam by way of RNAcentral. Lineage: Eukaryota; Metazoa; Arthropoda; Arachnida; Araneae; Eresidae.
GUCUUCGUGGUGUAGUGGUCAGCACGAUUGCCGCGUAUUCCAGAGGUCUGUGGUUCGAGUCCCGGCGAGGACA